CUGCAGCCAAUUAAACUGUGCUCUUUCCCCAUGGGGGCCCAGUGUGCAAUGGCUGCAAACAGCAGCCUCCUUGGUAGUGUAUGCAGUCUAUUGAUUGUCUGGUUGCCCUAAGGGACCUUGGAAACAGCC
The sequence is a small nucleolar RNA, 129 nucleotides long. Its record names the gene SNORA70. It matches the Rfam family "Small nucleolar RNA SNORA70". From Rfam's summary of the family: snoRNA U70 seems to be exclusive to mammals and is a member of the H/ACA class of snoRNA which contain H (ANANNA) and ACA box motifs. H/ACA box snoRNAs are involved in the conversion of uridines to pseudouridines (5-ribosyluracil) a constituent of structural RNAs (transfer, ribosomal, small nuclear, and small nucleolar). The record is from Ensembl.